GCCUGUUUAUCAAAAACAUCGCCUCUUGAAAUUAAUAAGAGGUCUAGCCUGCCCAGUGACCACAGUUCAACGGCCGCGGUAUCCUAACCGUGCGAAGGUAGCGUAAUCACUUGUUCUUUAAAUGGGGACUAGUAUGAAUGGCAUCACGAGGGUUAUACUGUCUCCUUUUUCCAAUCAGUGAAACUAAUCUCCCCGUGAAGAAGCGGGGAUAAGACCAUAAGACGAGAAGACCCUAUGGAGCUUUAAAUUUCUCUUCAAACGCCGGCUAAUUUAGUAAGUCAUAGACCCCUUCCCCCUUAACCCUAGCGCCAUGAAGACGACUUUUAGGUUGGGGUGACCGCGGAGUACAAAAAAACCUCCACAUUGAACUAGGCUCCCAAGCCCUGAGCAAAGGGCCACAACCCCAUGCACUAAAAAACUAACAUCCAUUGACCCAAUACCUUUUGAUCAACGAACCAAGUUACCCUAGGGAUAACAGCGCAAUCCACUUCAAGAGUCCAUAUCGACAAGUGGGUUUACGACCUCGAUGUUGGAUCAGGGUAUCCCAGUGGUGCAGCCGCUACUAAUGGUUCGUUUGUUCAACGAUUAAAACCCU
RNAcentral lists this ribosomal RNA (595 nucleotides) under Scinax sp. KAV13. RNAcentral's name for it is "partial 16S large subunit ribosomal RNA". It matches the Rfam family "Bacterial large subunit ribosomal RNA", at positions 1798 to 2597 of the family's 2925-position model. The record is from RNAcentral. Lineage: Eukaryota; Metazoa; Chordata; Amphibia; Anura; Hylidae.